AGCAGCCGCGGUAAUUCCAGCUCCAAUAGCGUAUAUUAAAGUUGUUGCAGUUAAAAAGCUCGUAGUUGAAUUUUGGGUCUGGCCGGGCGGUCCGCCCUCUGGGUGAGCACUGUUCCGACGCCGGGCCUAUCCUUCUGGUGAGUCGGCAUGUCCUUUAUUGGGUGUGCCGGGGAACCAGGACCAUUACCUUGAAAAAAUUAGAGUGUUCAAAGCAGGCGUAUGCUCGGAUACAUUAGCAUGGAAUAAUGAAAUAGGACGCGUGGUGCUAUUUUGUUGGUUUCUAGAACCGCCGUAAUGAUUAAUAGGGAUAGUUGGGGGCAUUAGUAUUCAAUUGUCAGAGGUGAAAUUCUUGGAUUUAUUGAAGACUAACUUCUGCGAAAGCAUUUGCCAAGGAUGUUUUCAUUAAUCAAGAACGAAAGUUAGGGGAUCGAAGACGAUCAGAUACCGUCGUAGUCUUAACCAUAAG
Molecule: unclassified non-coding RNA, 466 nt
Filed under: uncultured Glomus
Lineage: Eukaryota; Fungi; Glomeromycota; Glomeromycetes; Glomerales; Glomeraceae
Also listed under: 1 other name
Description: SSU rRNA
Rfam family: Eukaryotic small subunit ribosomal RNA
Source: RNAcentral